RNAcentral lists this ribosomal RNA (253 nucleotides) under uncultured bacterium. RNAcentral's name for it is "partial 16S ribosomal RNA". It matches the Rfam family "Bacterial small subunit ribosomal RNA", at positions 524 to 776 of the family's 1533-position model. The record is from RNAcentral.
UACGAAGGGUGCAAGCGUUACUCGGAAUUACUGGGCGUAAAGCGUGCGCAGGCGGUUUUGUAAGCCAGAUGUGAAAGCCCCGGGCUCAACCUGGGAAUGGCAUUUGGGACUGCAAGGCUGGAGUUUGGCAGAGGAGACUGGAAUUCCUGGUGUAGCAGUGAAAUGCGUAGAUAUCAGGAGGAAUACCGAUGGCGAAGGCAGGUCUCUGGGCUAUAACUGACGCUCAUGCACGAAAGCGUGGGGAGCAAACAGG